ACUUGUGCAUGUCAUCAUGAGUAGUUCUUUUUAUGUUCUUAUAUUCACAUUUGCAUCUUUACAUUCACUGCUUAAGAUAUUUUUAAAUUUGACCGAAUAUCAUGGAAUGGUUGAAAAAAAGAAGGUGAAGAUUGUCUUCACUAAGGAUAUCUAAUAUCGUUACAGCAUCGAUAAGCAAUAAAUUGUAAGAAUUAUCUUGUAAAUGUGAAGUAGUAGCAGGAUGCAAAAG
Molecule: long non-coding RNA, 229 nt
Filed under: Elaeis guineensis (African oil palm)
Lineage: Eukaryota; Viridiplantae; Streptophyta; Magnoliopsida; Arecales; Arecaceae
Description: long non-coding RNA (EGUI_LNC047864)
Source: RNAcentral